Molecule: ribosomal RNA, 277 nt
Filed under: uncultured bacterium
Lineage: Bacteria
Description: partial 16S ribosomal RNA
Rfam family: Bacterial small subunit ribosomal RNA
Source: RNAcentral
AAUCAACGCUGGCGGCGCGCUUAACACAUGCAAGUCGCACGAGAAAGGGGCAACCUGAGUAAAGUGGCGUACGGGUGAGUAACACGUGGAUCAUACACCUUUUAGUGGGGAAUAACUUUGGGAAACCGAAGCUAAUACCGCAUAAGCCCGAGAGGGGAAAGUAGCAAUACGCUGAAAGAGUAGUCCGCGGCUGAUUAGCUAGUUGGUGAGGUAAUGGCUCACCAAGGCAAUGAUCGGUAGCCGGCCUGAGAGGGCUCACGGCCACACUGGCACUGAA